This 960-nucleotide ribosomal RNA is filed under the name Escherichia coli. RNAcentral's name for it is "partial 23S ribosomal RNA". It matches the Rfam family "Bacterial large subunit ribosomal RNA", at positions 231 to 1230 of the family's 2925-position model. Lineage: Bacteria; Pseudomonadati; Pseudomonadota; Gammaproteobacteria; Enterobacterales; Enterobacteriaceae. The record is from RNAcentral.
GAGAUUCCCCCAGUAGCGGCGAGCGAACGGGGAGCAGCCCAGAGCCUGAAUCAGUGUGUGUGUUAGUGGAAGCGUCUGGAAAGGCGUGCGAUACAGGGUGACAGCCCCGUACACAAAAAUGCACAUAUUGUGAGCUCGAUGAGUAGGGCGGGACACGUGGUAUCCUGUCUGAAUAUGGGGGGACCAUCCUCCAAGGCUAAAUACUCCUGACUGACCGAUAGUGAACCAGUACCGUGAGGGAAAGGCGAAAAGAACCCCGGCGAGGGGAGUGAAAAAGAACCUGAAACCGUGUACGUACAAGCAGUGGGAGCACGCUUAGGCGUGUGACUGCGUACCUUUUGUAUAAUGGGUCAGCGACUUAUAUUCUGUAGCAAGGUUAACCGAAUAGGGGAGCCGAAGGGAAACCGAGUCUUAACUGGGCGUUAAGUUGCAGGGUAUAGACCCGAAACCCGGUGAUCUAGCCAUGGGCAGGUUGAAGGUUGGGUAACACUAACUGGAGGACCGAACCGACUAAUGUUGAAAAAUUAGCGGAUGACUUGUGGCUGGGGGUGAAAGGCCAAUCAAACCGGGAGAUAGCUGGUUCUCCCCGAAAGCUAUUUAGGUAGCGCCUCGUGAAUUCAUCUCCGGGGGUAGAGCACUGUUUCGGCAAGGGGGUCAUCCCGACUUACCAACCCGAUGCAAACUGCGAAUACCGGAGAAUGUUAUCACGGGAGACACACGGCGGGUGCUAACGUCCGUCGUGAAGAGGGAAACAACCCAGACCGCCAGCUAAGGUCCCAAAGUCAUGGUUAAGUGGGAAACGAUGUGGGAAGGCCCAGACAGCCAGGAUGUUGGCUUAGAAGCAGCCAUCAUUUAAAGAAAGCGUAAUAGCUCACUGGUCGAGUCGGCCUGCGCGGAAGAUGUAACGGGGCUAAACCAUGCACCGAAGCUGCGGCAGCGACGCUUAUGCGUUGUUGGGUA